This is a long non-coding RNA of Daktulosphaira vitifoliae (grape phylloxera), 832 nucleotides long. RefSeq lists it as uncharacterized. Lineage: Eukaryota; Metazoa; Arthropoda; Insecta; Hemiptera; Phylloxeridae. The record is from RefSeq and is a predicted model, not a curated record. The transcript has 3 exons.
UAAAGUGUUAUAACUUGGUAGUAACCAAUUAAUUGGUUACUACUUAGUUUUGUCUUGUGUCAUCUAUAAUAAUAACAACACAUUUUAACAUAUUAACACUAAAUAUAUCAAUUAUUGUAAAAGAAUUUUUUUUUUUUUAAUUUUUUUAUGGGAUCAACCGUAGUUUUGGUUCGUUUUAAAUUUGUUUAAAGGUUUUUAAACCAAAUUUCUAUAAAAUAAAAAUUUAUAAGAAAAAAAUGCUUUUUCUAUCAAAUUAUCAAGUGCAAUGAAUUUAUUACUAGAAGGGAUAGGAAAGCGAGAAUGUAAUGCUACGAGUAACAAUAACGAGAAAUUCCAAAAGCCUUUAACCGAUACGGUUAUGAGUACACGGAAGAAGGAACCUUUAGGAGUUAGAGAAAAAGGCCUUGAUCAUAGGAAGCCCGAAAUGUGUACAAAAAAAAAAGGUAAUAUAAGAAAUAGUUAAGAGGAGCUCGUAUUUGUUGCGUUUCUUUUACGGUAUACUUGAAAAAUAGAAAACAAAUAAAUCACUUAUGUAUACUUGGUUGAACCCGCAGAAGGUAUAAGAAGACCCUACGAAACAACGGAAGGAAGUAUUAAAAAAAACGCCAAACAAAGUUAUUGUAUAGCUUGGAUAAUACAACAGCGGAUAAAUAUCAGCUAAACCGCAGUGGCAAAACAAAAUAGUGUUGGUGGAACAUUAUAGUUAUGGUUUCAAAACUACCUGAGUAGAACGGUUGGUUUAUUCGUAGUAUUUUAUCAAUAUUCCAACAUAUGAAAUUCAAAAGCGUCAUAAGUAAUAACUUUUUUUAUCCAGAAUCGAAAAUAAUUAAAA